AAAGAUUAAGCCAUGCAUGUCUAAGUAUAAGCAACUAUACUGUGAAACUGCGAAUGGCUCAUUAAAUCAGUUAUCGUUUAUUUGAUAGUGCCCUUUACUACUUGGAUAACCGUGGUAAUUCUAGAGCUAAUACAUGCAUCAAGCCUCGACUUCGGGAGAGGCGUAUUUAUUAGAUAAAAAACCAACGCCCUUCGGGGCUGCUUGGUGAGUCAUGAUAACGCAACGAAUUGCAUGGCCUUGCGCCGGCGAUGGUUCAAUCAAAUUUCUGCCCUAUCAACUUUCGAUUGUAGUUUAGUGGACUACAAUGGUUUCAACGGGUAACGGGGAAU
Molecule: ribosomal RNA, 329 nt
Filed under: uncultured fungus
Lineage: Eukaryota; Fungi
Description: SSU rRNA
Rfam family: Eukaryotic small subunit ribosomal RNA
Source: RNAcentral